Molecule: ribosomal RNA, 2774 nt
Filed under: human gut metagenome
Also listed under: 1 other name
Description: bacterial LSU rRNA
Rfam family: Bacterial large subunit ribosomal RNA
Source: RNAcentral
AGCGUACACGGUGGAUGCCCUGGCAGUCAGAGGCGAUGAAGGACGUGCUAAUCUGCGAUAAGCGUCGGUAAGGUGAUAUGAACCGUUAUAACCGGCGAUUUCCGAAUGGGGAAACCCAGUGUGAUUCGUCACACUAUCAUUAACUGAAUCCAUAGGUUAAUGAGGCGAACCGGGGGAACUGAAACAUCUAAGUACCCCGAGGAAAAGAAAUCAACCGAGAUUCCCCCAGUAGCGGCGAGCGAACGGGGAGCAGCCCAGAGCCUGAAUCAGUGUGUGUGUUAGUGGAAGCGUCUGGAAAGGCGCGCGAUACAGGGUGACAGCCCCGUACACAAAAAUGCACAUGCUGUGAGCUCGAUGAGUAGGGCGGGACACGUGGUAUCCUGUCUGAAUAUGGGGGGACCAUCCUCCAAGGCUAAAUACUCCUGACUGACCGAUAGUGAACCAGUACCGUGAGGGAAAGGCGAAAAGAACCCCGGCGAGGGGAGUGAAAAAGAACCUGAAACCGUGUACGUACAAGCAGUGGGAGCCUCUUUAUGGGGUGACUGCGUACCUUUUGUAUAAUGGGUCAGCGACUUAUAUUCUGUAGCAAGGUUAACCGAAUAGGGGAGCCGAAGGGAAACCGAGUCUUAACUGGGCGUUAAGUUGCAGGGUAUAGACCCGAAACCCGGUGAUCUAGCCAUGGGCAGGUUGAAGGUUGGGUAACACUAACUGGAGGACCGAACCGACUAAUGUUGAAAAAUUAGCGGAUGACUUGUGGCUGGGGGUGAAAGGCCAAUCAAACCGGGAGAUAGCUGGUUCUCCCCGAAAGCUAUUUAGGUAGCGCCUCGUGAAUUCAUCUCCGGGGGUAGAGCACUGUUUCGGCAAGGGGGUCAUCCCGACUUACCAACCCGAUGCAAACUGCGAAUACCGGAGAAUGUUAUCACGGGAGACACACGGCGGGUGCUAACGUCCGUCGUGAAGAGGGAAACAACCCAGACCGCCAGCUAAGGUCCCAAAGUCAUGGUUAAGUGGGAAACGAUGUGGGAAGGCCCAGACAGCCAGGAUGUUGGCUUAGAAGCAGCCAUCAUUUAAAGAAAGCGUAAUAGCUCACUGGUCGAGUCGGCCUGCGCGGAAGAUGUAACGGGGCUAAACCAUGCACCGAAGCUGCGGCAGCGACGCUUAUGCGUUGUUGGGUAGGGGAGCGUUCUGUAAGCCUGCGAAGGUGUGCUGUGAGGCAUGCUGGAGGUAUCAGAAGUGCGAAUGCUGACAUAAGUAACGAUAAAGCGGGUGAAAAGCCCGCUCGCCGGAAGACCAAGGGUUCCUGUCCAACGUUAAUCGGGGCAGGGUGAGUCGACCCCUAAGGCGAGGCCGAAAGGCGUAGUCGAUGGGAAACAGGUUAAUAUUCCUGUACUUGGUGUUACUGCGAAGGGGGGACGGAGAAGGCUAUGUUGGCCGGGCGACGGUUGUCCCGGUUUAAGCGUGUAGGCUGGUUUUCCAGGCAAAUCCGGAAAAUCAAGGCUGAGGCGUGAUGACGAGGCACUACGGUGCUGAAGCAACAAAUGCCCUGCUUCCAGGAAAAGCCUCUAAGCAUCAGGUAACAUCAAAUCGUACCCCAAACCGACACAGGUGGUCAGGUAGAGAAUACCAAGGCGCUUGAGAGAACUCGGGUGAAGGAACUAGGCAAAAUGGUGCCGUAACUUCGGGAGAAGGCACGCUGAUAUGUAGGUGAAGUCCCUUGCGGAUGGAGCUGAAAUCAGUCGAAGAUACCAGCUGGCUGCAACUGUUUAUUAAAAACACAGCACUGUGCAAACACGAAAGUGGACGUAUACGGUGUGACGCCUGCCCGGUGCCGGAAGGUUAAUUGAUGGGGUUAGCGGUAACGCGAAGCUCUUGAUCGAAGCCCCGGUAAACGGCGGCCGUAACUAUAACGGUCCUAAGGUAGCGAAAUUCCUUGUCGGGUAAGUUCCGACCUGCACGAAUGGCGUAAUGAUGGCCAGGCUGUCUCCACCCGAGACUCAGUGAAAUUGAACUCGCUGUGAAGAUGCAGUGUACCCGCGGCAAGACGGAAAGACCCCGUGAACCUUUACUAUAGCUUGACACUGAACAUUGAGCCUUGAUGUGUAGGAUAGGUGGGAGGCUUUGAAGUGUGGACGCCAGUCUGCAUGGAGCCGACCUUGAAAUACCACCCUUUAAUGUUUGAUGUUCUAACGUUGGCCCCUAAUCGGGGUUGCGGACAGUGUCUGGUGGGUAGUUUGACUGGGGCGGUCUCCUCCUAAAGAGUAACGGAGGAGCACGAAGGUUGGCUAAUCCUGGUCGGACAUCAGGAGGUUAGUGCAAUGGCAUAAGCCAGCUUGACUGCGAGCGUGACGGCGCGAGCAGGUGCGAAAGCAGGUCAUAGUGAUCCGGUGGUUCUGAAUGGAAGGGCCAUCGCUCAACGGAUAAAAGGUACUCCGGGGAUAACAGGCUGAUACCGCCCAAGAGUUCAUAUCGACGGCGGUGUUUGGCACCUCGAUGUCGGCUCAUCACAUCCUGGGGCUGAAGUAGGUCCCAAGGGUAUGGCUGUUCGCCAUUUAAAGUGGUACGCGAGCUGGGUUUAGAACGUCGUGAGACAGUUCGGUCCCUAUCUGCCGUGGGCGCUGGAGAACUGAGGGGGGCUGCUCCUAGUACGAGAGGACCGGAGUGGACGCAUCACUGGUGUUCGGGUUGUCAUGCCAAUGGCACUGCCCGGUAGCUAAAUGCGGAAGAGAUAAGUGCUGAAAGCAUCUAAGCACGAAACUUGCCCCGAGAUGAGUUCU